RNAcentral lists this long non-coding RNA (1204 nucleotides) under Panax ginseng (ginseng). RNAcentral describes it as "long non-coding RNA (PGIN_LNC015227)". The record is from RNAcentral. Lineage: Eukaryota; Viridiplantae; Streptophyta; Magnoliopsida; Apiales; Araliaceae.
UCAAUUUUUGUGACGCCCCCAAAAUAGGUAUACAACACUCAUUUUGAGUCGUCAAAAUACAUGGUAUAGAAAGCAAACUACAACUUUGACGAUACAGAUGUCGUGUAGAAUACGACAAUACAACUGUGAGUUUGAAUACAAAUAUUGUCUUCUAGACAAUAUACACACCCAAAUAAGUCCUCAUUAAUUAUUCAUACACUAUUUUACAGAAAUAGUGAGGACAGCUAAAACAUCUUCCUAGAACCAUCACUCCAUACCCCGACUCGAUCCUGCUAUGUUCUCACCUCCUGAGAAGAAAAAUGGAACAAAAAGGAAAAGGGUGAGCUCAACUAGCCCAGUAAAGAAUAUUAUGACUAAGAUAAUAUACAACAAAUUAUCGUUAGUCUUCAACAGGGAAAAAUCUAAUAGAAUACAAUAGACAACAAGUUUUAGAUCAACAAAUGCAGCGGAAACAGCAAUCCAUUAGAAGAGUCACGUAGAGAAAGAAUUCUACUGUCUUCUAAGGUUUAAAAGUCCAUCAUCAAUAGUUUAUCCCUGUAAUAACAAUCAAUAUACAUCUUUAAUCAUCUUUGCACUACAGGCCAAAGAUAUUCAUUUGUAUCACCAGUUGGUCAUGUUCAUCUCAACACCUGUUCAUCUUUGCACUACAGGCCAAAGAUAUUCAUCAGUUAAUCGUUCAUCUUUGCACUACAGGCCAAAGAUAUUCAUUUAUAUCACCAUUUAGGACUGAGGAUGAUGAAAAACAUUUUUAAAGAAACGAAUCCAGUGAAACAAAAUGACAAGGAUUAAGGAUUAAGGAUUCGUACUUUGUUUUACCCAUGUCCAAAAAUACUUCGAAAAUAAUCAUAUUGGUGUAAAAUUCAAGAAUGAUCAAAACAUGGAUACAAUCAAAGCUAGUAUCCAGAAUAGAUAUUUUGGACAAAAAGAAAAAUUUUUAUUUUUCGGUGAAUAGUGCCGUAUUCGUGAAUAGUGUCGUAUACGUGAAUAGUGCCGUAUACGUGAAUAGUAACCCCGACACAACAAGUUCCAAAUUUGAUAAAAAAGUUCACCAAUACUUCGGCAUAAUGAUAUUGAAGAAAAAAUAUCAUUUAAGAAGAAAAUAAUACCCCUUACCUCAAAAUAACCGUACUUCUGACUGAAUUUCGGUAUAGUGCUGACAGAAACCCGCACCGUAUAGCAACACUCAAAGUAUACUCACAAGAAU